GGAACUGUAGUUUAAUUGGACAGAGCGCGAGUGUCCGAAGCUCGAUGUGCGGGUUCAAAUCCCGCCAGUCCCA
Molecule: transfer RNA, 73 nt
Filed under: Kalinella pachyderma
Lineage: Eukaryota; Viridiplantae; Chlorophyta; Trebouxiophyceae; Watanabeales; Watanabeaceae
Description: tRNA-Arg
Rfam family: tRNA
About the family: Transfer RNA (tRNA) molecules are approximately 80 nucleotides in length. Their secondary structure includes four short double-helical elements and three loops (D, anti-codon, and T loops).
Source: RNAcentral